This 74-nucleotide transfer RNA is filed under the name Streptococcus pyogenes. RNAcentral describes it as "tRNA-Glu(ttc)". It matches the Rfam family "tRNA". Rfam says of the family: Transfer RNA (tRNA) molecules are approximately 80 nucleotides in length. Their secondary structure includes four short double-helical elements and three loops (D, anti-codon, and T loops). The record is from RNAcentral. Lineage: Bacteria; Bacillati; Bacillota; Bacilli; Lactobacillales; Streptococcaceae.
UUGUCCGUUGGUCAAGGGGUUAAGACACCGCCUUUUCACGGCGGUAACACGGGUUCGAAUCCCGUACGGACUAU